RNAcentral lists this ribosomal RNA (347 nucleotides) under Aeromonas hydrophila. RNAcentral's name for it is "bacterial SSU rRNA". It matches the Rfam family "Bacterial small subunit ribosomal RNA", at positions 1181 to 1529 of the family's 1533-position model. RNAcentral also lists the same sequence under 1 other name. Lineage: Bacteria; Pseudomonadati; Pseudomonadota; Gammaproteobacteria; Aeromonadales; Aeromonadaceae. The record is from RNAcentral.
GAAGUCACUAUCAUGGCCCUUACGGCCAGGGCUACACACGUGCUACAAUGGCGCGUACAGAGGGCUGCAAGCUAGCGAUAGUGAGCGAAUCCCAAAAAGCGCGUCGUAGUCCGGAUCGGAGUCUGCAACUCGACUCCGUGAAGUCGGAAUCGCUAGUAAUCGCAAAUCAGAAUGUUGCGGUGAAUACGUUCCCGGGCCUUGUACACACCGCCCGUCACACCAUGGGAGUGGGUUGCACCAGAAGUAGAUAGCUUAACCUUCGGGAGGGCGUUUACCACGGUGUGAUUCAUGACUGGGGUGAAGUCGUAACAAGGUAACCCUAGGGGAACCUGCGGUUGGAUCACCNC